This 70-nucleotide transfer RNA is filed under the name Ictidomys tridecemlineatus (thirteen-lined ground squirrel). RNAcentral's name for it is "Spermophilus tridecemlineatus (thirteen-lined ground squirrel) tRNA". It matches the Rfam family "tRNA". From Rfam's summary of the family: Transfer RNA (tRNA) molecules are approximately 80 nucleotides in length. Lineage: Eukaryota; Metazoa; Chordata; Mammalia; Rodentia; Sciuridae. The record is from Rfam by way of RNAcentral.
GGAGAAAUAGCUCAGUUUGUAGGGUGCUUGCCUUGUAUGCAAAAGGCCCUGGGUUCAAUCCCCAGCACCA